This 253-nucleotide ribosomal RNA is filed under the name uncultured bacterium. RNAcentral describes it as "partial 16S ribosomal RNA". It matches the Rfam family "Bacterial small subunit ribosomal RNA", at positions 524 to 776 of the family's 1533-position model. The record is from RNAcentral.
UACGUAGGGUGCAAGCGUUGUCCGGAAUUACUGGGCGUAAAGGGCUCGUAGGCGGCCGACUAAGUCCGACGUGAAAUCCCAAAGCUUAACUUUGGAACUGCGUCGGAUACUGGAUGGCUUGAAUUCGGGAGAGGGAUGCAGAAUUCCAGGUGUAGCGGUGAAAUGCGUAGAUAUCUGGAGGAAUACCGGUGGCGAAGGCGGCAUCCUGGACCGACAUUGACGCUGAGGAGCGAAAGCUAGGGGAGCAAACGGG